Pteropus vampyrus (large flying fox) is the source of this 133-nucleotide small nucleolar RNA. The record is from Ensembl. NCBI's taxonomy places the organism in Eukaryota, Metazoa, Chordata, Mammalia, Chiroptera, Pteropodidae.
UUGUCCAUCCUAAUCCCUGCCCGUCAGACUGUAGAUUGCCAGGUUUCACUUGUGGACCACAGCACCUUAGAAGCCUCGCUCAGAACAGUGACCACAGGUUCAGUACGCUCAUGCCACGCACUACUAGACAUGA